AGCAGUCGCCGCGGUAAGACAGAGGAUGCAAGCGUUAUCCGGAAUGAUUGGGCGUAAAGCGUCUGUAGGUGGCUUUUCAAGUCCGCCGUCAAAUCCCAGGGCUCAACCCUGGACAGGCGGUGGAAACUACCAAGCUGGAGUACGGUAGGGGCAGAGGGAAUUUCCGGUGUAGCGGUGAAAUGCGUAGAGAUCUGGAGGAAUACCGGUGGCGAAGGCGGCCCCCUGGACAAAGACUGACGCUCAGGUGCGAAAGCGUGGGGAGCAAACAGGAUUAGAUACCCCAGUAGUCCCUGUCUCUUAUAC
RNAcentral lists this ribosomal RNA (303 nucleotides) under uncultured bacterium. RNAcentral describes it as "partial 16S ribosomal RNA". It matches the Rfam family "Bacterial small subunit ribosomal RNA", at positions 507 to 807 of the family's 1533-position model. The record is from RNAcentral.